This 497-nucleotide ribosomal RNA is filed under the name uncultured bacterium. RNAcentral describes it as "partial 16S ribosomal RNA". It matches the Rfam family "Bacterial small subunit ribosomal RNA", at positions 28 to 507 of the family's 1533-position model. The record is from RNAcentral.
GAUGAACGCUGGCGGCGUGCCUAAUACAUGCAAGUCGAGCGAACGGACGAGAAGCUUGCUUCUCUGAUGUUAGCGGCGGACGGGUGAGUAACACGUGGAUAACCUACCUAUAAGACUGGGAUAACUUCGGGAAACCGUAGCUAAUACCGGAUAAUAUUUUGAACCGCAUGGUUCAAAAGUGAAAGACGGUCUUGCUGUCACUUAUAGAUGGAUCCGCGCUGCAUUAGCUAGUUGGUAAGGUAACGGCUUACCAAGGCAACGAUGCAUAGCCGACCUGAGAGGGGGAUCGGACACACGGGAAGUGAGACACGGUCCAGACUCCUACGGGAGGAAGCAGUAGGGAAUCUUACGCAAUGGGCGAAAGCCUGACGGAGCAACGCCGCGUGAGUGAUGAAGGUCUACGGAUCGUAAAACUCUGUUAUUAGGGAAGAACAUAUGUGUAAGUAACUGUGAACAUCUUGACGGUACCUAAUCAGAAAGCCACGGCUAACUACGUG